This is a non-coding RNA of Rattus norvegicus (Norway rat), 69 nucleotides long. NCBI's taxonomy places the organism in Eukaryota, Metazoa, Chordata, Mammalia, Rodentia, Muridae. The record is from Rfam.
GGGGAUUUAGCUCAGCGGUAGAGCGCUUGCCUAGCAAGCGCAAGGCCCUGGGUUCGAUCCCCAGCUCCA